CGGUAACACCAGCCCCUCGAGUGGUGGGGAUGAUUAUUUGGCCUAAAGCGUCCGUAGCCGGCCGAGCAAGUCUUCCGUUAAAUCCAGCGUCUCAAGCGUUGGACUGCGGGAGAUACUACACGGCUAGAGAGUGGGAGAGGUCAGCGGUAUUCUGGGGGUAGGGGCGAAAUCCUUUGAUCCCCGGAGGACCACCAGUGGCGAAGGCUGCUGACUAGAACACGUCUGACGGUCAGGGACGAAAGCUGGGGUAGCGAACCGGAUUAGAUACCCGGGUAGUCCCAGCCGUAAACGAUGCAUGCUAGGUGUUGGGUUGGCCACGAGCCACCCCAGUGCCGCAGGGAAGCCGUUAAGCAUGCCGCCUGGGAAGUACGAUCGCAAGAUUGAAACUUAAAGGAAUUGGCG
Molecule: ribosomal RNA, 402 nt
Filed under: uncultured archaeon
Lineage: Archaea
Description: bacterial SSU rRNA
Rfam family: Archaeal small subunit ribosomal RNA
Source: RNAcentral